Long non-coding RNA from Mustela erminea (ermine), 4850 nucleotides. RefSeq lists it as uncharacterized. The transcript is spliced from 3 exons. The record is from RefSeq and is a predicted model, not a curated record. NCBI's taxonomy places the organism in Eukaryota, Metazoa, Chordata, Mammalia, Carnivora, Mustelidae.
GAUUUGCAAAUAUUUUCUCCCAUUCUGUGGGUUCUUUUUCACUCCUUUGAUAGUAUCCUUUGUACAUAAGUUUUAAUUCUGAUGACGUCCAAAUUGCAUACUUUUCUUUUGUUGUCUAUGCUUUCGGUGUCAUAUCCUAGAAGUCAUUGCCAAAUUCAAUGUCAUUAAGAGUUUCCCUUAGGUUUUCUUUUAAGAAUUAGGUAGUUUUAUCUCUUAAGUUUAGGUCUUUGAUUCAUUCUGCCUUAAUUUUUGUAUAUGAUGUAGAUAAGGGUUCCAUUUUAUUCUUUGGCAUGUGGAAAUAUCCUGUUUUUCUAGCACCAUUUGUUGAAAAGACUGUCCUUUCCCCAUUGAAUAGUUUUGUACCCUUGACAAAAAUCAAUGAUUUCUGGCUUAUUAUUUCUGACCCUGUUCCAUUGGUCUAUAUGUCUGCUCUAUUCCAUUUUAAGAAGUAAUAUGGUUUCUUCUAAACUCUUAUCCUUGUACCCACUCCAUCAAGGGGGGAAUAAGGAGGAAAAGUCUUAAACACCAAAGGAUUAAGUAACGAAUGUUAUGGUGCCCUGGAUUUGAAUGCUAGGAAGAAUGCAACAUUCUGGAGGUGCCCGAUUUUCAGACUAGCAUUCAAAUUGUCAGUGUUGAGCAAGCAUUUUGUUCUAUUUUGAACCCAUCCCUUGCUAUCUUGGGCACAACCAUUCUUUACAUUUUUUCCCCUGUGUUACCAAACUUAGAGGACCCAAAUACGCUCGCAAGUGAUGCUGUUUUGAAAUCCCACGUGAUGGGAAUGAGACUGAUUCUGUGUGUGCAUUCAGCCUUUAACUCAUGAAAGAAGAAUUGCUAUUAGUCAGAGGUUCUUCAUUGAGCACAAUUUAUGUGGGACACUGUAACACAAAAUUUACAUCCAUUGUGGCUUCCAGUGCAAUUAGGGAGGCAAAGUAUAUAUAUAAACGGAUAAUCAUCUAGAGAUGGGAAAGAUGAAAAAGGAAAUAGUUGCCCAAAUCUCCAAAUGCAGGAUCUUUCCGGGAUAUUUAAAGAGGAAGAGUAAAUUCCAUUUCAAGGGUUGAAGGGAAACAAUAUGGGGUAUUAAGACGAAGGCAGACAUGAAUGAACUAUCUGGGGACAGUGAGAAGGCCAGCCCAACUAGAUCAGAGGGUGUGUGUGGGAGAGCAGUGGUGGAUAAGUGGGGUAGGGCUAAAUUAUGUAGGGUUUUUAAAUAACCAGACAGAAGAGUGUGCACUUGAUUUAGUAAGACAAUAGGAUACCCUUAAUAGUUCUUAAAUGACAUGAUUAAUUUUUAAAAUAAAGGAUGGUGGUACAGUUUUAGGUAGAUUUGUUCAGGAGGGAAUGUGGGGUAGGUUUUUAGAGAAGAGGAAUUGAUUCAGUUAUCAUAAGACUUCCCUGGAAAGAAAAGUAGAUCUUUGCCCCAAGUCCAAUGUCAGAUUGAGGUGUGUUUCAGAACCCUUGUUAAUUGAAAUCCAGUGUUAGAAAAUGCACUGGAUCUAAAAUCCUGUAAGAUCUUGCCCAAGUUCAAGCAGACCCACUAAUCUUUCGUGUUAAUGGCCUAAAAUUUCCACUCUGGGUUCUGGUUUGGUUUGGCGCUCUCCCCAGAUUGCCUCACUAUGGUGCCAUGUUUCCAAAGCUACCAAGCUAUGGGCAGGGCUAUAAUUUCAGUUUCCUCAUUUUUACAAAAGAUCGGGUUUUCUAAAGCUCUUCUCUUAGUGUAUCAGCCAGAAUUUGUGUUGAAAAGAUACACAAAAACUGGGAACCACUGCGGUUGACUUUUAGCCCUUUCAUCCCACCUGCAUUCCCCUAAAUGCUCAGCAGGACCUAGCACUUUCUCUCCACUCAGUGCUCUCCCUCAGCAGCCAAAGAUUACCUGUUAUGCACACAAGUGGUCCAAGCUGCUCUGUCUCAGAGAGGAAUGUGGAGCCUUGCCAGUUGACAUUUUGGGGGGUCACAGGAAAAGAGAGGGUAAGCAGGAAGUGUUUCAUGGGCUAGAAUCAUGGGAUAUGCAAGGACACCCCAUUCCAGAGCUCAGUGCUAGACAAUGGCAUAUGAGGAACCAUUAGACUGAUUUCCCCUGUGGUCAGAGGCUGGCUGCAUUUUUAUCCUUCCUCCCCUGCCUGAACACUCCCAACAUUGGAAUUUCUUCGGAUGGCUACUGUGUGUGGUUUUCAACCAGGACAAACAAAAAAGAGAGAGAGAGAGAGUUUUGUUUUCCUGUCUGCUUUUGGUCAAUGGAAUCUCUGAUUCGACUUAACCGGUCAUGCCUUGUACACCCGGCGGCUGGUUAGGGCUUUAAGCCCUAAGCACACGGAACUAGCUUUACUGACUCCUUUCCAUCGCCCGAACCAGAGUACAAACUUCAUCCUACCGCUCACCCCCAGCGUCCCUUCAAACUAUGGUAAUUCUGCAGGAGAAGGGAUUGUGGAUCACUGUGAUUAAAAAACAAAACACACAGACGGCUCAAGGAGAAUCCUGGCCCCUCCCAUAUCCAAUCCCAGGGAGCAGGAAGUAGAAGCAACUCUCAGGCAGGUGGUCCCCAGUGCAUUCUCAGUCUCCUGAGGAAGGAAUGGGGAGCAGUUUGGUAAAACUUCACUUGAUGUUGGAGUUACCGGAGGAUAGGAACUGAGGUGAGGCUUUUGGGACGACAGAGAGUCAAGUUCUUGUUUUUAUCACCUAGACAUUGGUGGACUGAUUCAGGAUUCCUGGGUUCCCAUUUUCCCCUUUAUCAGACCCAUGCUACGUCCAUCCACGUAACAGCAUGGUGACCAGGUUUGAAUCCCACCCUACUGGUUGCAGGACCGCCUUACUAGUUAUGCGAACUUGGGCAAGUUCCUUGAUAACCGGAUCUGCCUCCUAAGAUUACCGUGAGCUUUAAGUGCAAGGUGGGUAGGCCAGGGACCAGCAUAUAUCGUGGAAGCAUUCCUGAGAUUAUGGGCUUUUUCCUCUCCUUGGCUGUAGCAUGACGAAGUGCUUGUAACUGUCAUGUCGGUCAUUCUGCACUCCUGACAGGAAGAACGUCCAUUGUGUGCAAAUACUCACUGUGAGUGUUGUUCUGAGGACUGGCAGAGGAAAGGAAAGAUCUGGCUCCUACCCUCUGGGAGGGGAAGAGACUCCUCAGAGAGUUUCUCAGAGAAUACGACUCACAAAGGGAAAGAAUCUGCACCCAGCUUUCCCUUGUGGGAAAUGUCAGGACAUGGAGGCCUGUCAGAGGCUCUGGGACCGGGGAUCGUCAGCAGCGCCUGGGGAGCAAAGAAAGCUGUGGAGGUUAUCUUCAUACCUCGAGGCCUCCUUCUGGCACAGAGUGUGAAAGAAGAGCGGGAAGGACAGACAGGACUGGGAUUUGGCAGGGUUCCAUGAGCAGAUGAGGAGCUCCGCCUCUAGGCCCCAAAUCUGCCCCUAGGGGAUUCAGGCUCCCCCUUCUGGGCCUAGCCCCACACUCAGAGCCCUGGUUCUGGGCACACUGGUGUCCUCCCUAGUGUGCACGUGUGACGGGCCAUGGCUAUGCCCUUCCAGUCUUCCCCUGCCUCUCCUGAACCCCCCGCCCAUUCUAGGCUUUAUAAUCAGAGUCCUCAUUAUUCUGCUUUGUCCAUCCAAAGGCUACCCAAUCUGUUAAGGUCCACUUCAAUCUCAUCUCCUCCCUGAAGCCUUCCCUGACCACCCAGCUCUCACUGCCCUAAGUUCCCUUGUAGUGGAAAGCUGAAAUGUGGUUAAUUAUAUUUGCCCCAAAUAUCUGAGCACCUGUUGGGUUGCAGGGCUCUGGGCGUGGAUGUUGGGGAAAGUAUGAAAGUAAAGGACAGGAUCGUCUUUUAUCAAGAAGGUUAGACUCUAAGAGAAUAGCCUGGAAAAUCCCCAUGUUGCUUCGCAGGUCUGUUGUUUUUAUUUAACUUAAUAACAACAAUAAUAAUAAACCAUUGGGGGAAUACUUGCUAUGUGUCAGUAGUGUGCCAAGAGGCUUUCAUGAACUAUCUAACACUUAAUAGUUCUCCUAUAGGGGAAAUGCUAUUAUUUGAGCCAGGCAGCCCGACUCCACUGUUUCCACUCCUCACCACGCUGCCGUAAUUUUUCCCGUGUGUUUCACCUUUUCUGCUCAACGAGCAUGAAAUUCUUUGAGGCCAGGCACCUUGUCUCAUCCUCCCUCAGCCCCUGCAGCACUAAACACACUGCUGGUUUUGGAGGUCAGCCGCACACGCCGCUGGUGAGUUGUCCGCCAGGAUUCAGGGAUGCCUCGGUGAGCAGGCCCGGCGGCGGCAGAGAGGAGAGAUUGCCCCGGGUUUCAUAGUUCCGGGCAGCAGAGCCAGAAAAAUAGAUGAGGAGUCCAGGGUCCACAUACUGCUGGGGACCAACUCGCAGCUCACUCGCUGCCUCCAGGCCUAGACCAACAUUACCACCGAGCCAGGCCUCUAGGUACUAGGUGGGCUUUAUCUGAGGACCUCUUUACAGCCUGCAUGUAGGUCCAUUAGGAACAGGCCCAGAAGGUUCAUGGUUAAUGAUUACCAAGACCCGGAAGUCCCCAACAUUGCCUAGAACUAAGAAUGUCCUGUCUUGAGGACAGACUCGUAUCAUCUUCACAUCUACAAGCCAACCUUAGGAUUGCUUAGCAUGUCUGCCGAGUUAGAGUGAUUGUAUGUCUGAGAGCAGGGGCACUUGAGGCACAAAAAUAUCCAUCCUCAUUCAAGGGGACAGAUUCCUUGACAUUUAAUGAAAAUCUUACUCCCGUUCUAGUUACUCAUCUAUCAUGUUAUCUCUUUCUUUCAGAGUUACUGAUGGCCUAGAUAGUAUAAGAAGCUAUGCAGGGGAAAAAAACAAAAAAACAAAAAAGGGACACCUGGGUGGAUCGGUUCGUUAAGCGG